Molecule: ribosomal RNA, 466 nt
Filed under: uncultured bacterium
Lineage: Bacteria
Description: partial 16S ribosomal RNA
Rfam family: Bacterial small subunit ribosomal RNA
Source: RNAcentral
GAUGAACGCUGGCGGCGUGCUUAACACAUGCAAGUCGAACGAUGAAGCCCAGCUUGCUGGGUGGAUUAGUGGCGAACGGGUGAGUAACACGUGAGUAACCUGCCCUUUACUCUGUGAUAAGCCUGGGAAACUGGGUCUAAUACUGGAUAUGACUUCUCAUCGCAUGGUGGGGGGUGGAAAGAUUUAUUGGUCUUGGAUGGACUCGCGGCCUAUCAGCUUGUUGGUGAGGUAAUGGCUCACCAAGGCGACGACGGGUAGCCGGCCUGAGAGGGUGACCGGCCACACUGGGACUGAGACACGGCCCAGACUCCUACGGGAGGCAGCAGUGGGGAAUAUUGCACAAUGGGCGCAAGCCUGAUGCAGCGACGCCGCGUGAGGGAUGACGGCCUUCGGGUUGUAAACCUCUUUCAGUAGGGAAGAAGCGAGAGUGACGGUACCUGCAGAAGAAGCGCCGGCUAACUACGUG